Lathyrus oleraceus (garden pea) is the source of this 1308-nucleotide long non-coding RNA. RefSeq lists it as uncharacterized. The transcript is spliced from 3 exons. Lineage: Eukaryota; Viridiplantae; Streptophyta; Magnoliopsida; Fabales; Fabaceae. The record is from RefSeq and is a predicted model, not a curated record.
CUCUUUUCUUACCGCACAUGCAUGGUUCGUCUUCAAAUAUUCAAUAAAUGCUCUAUUCAUAACCGAUCAAUUUCAUAUGUUUGAAGACAAAAUUAUUCACUACAAACCAACAAAUUUCAAGGUUUUAACGAUGAUGAUGAUGAUGAUGAUGAUGAUGAUGAUGAUGAUGAUGAUGAUGAUGAUGAUGAUGAUGAUGAUGAUGAUGAUGAUGAUGAUGAUGAUGAUGAUGAUGAUGAUGAUGAUGAUGAUGAUGACAUUGUUGGUAGUGUUACUACUAGGGGUGGACAUCGGUUGGGUUGGAUCGGUUUUCGGGCCCAAAUUCCCAAUCCGACCUAACCAUCGGUUGGAAAAAACAUAACCAAAACCGACCGGUUUGCAAUUCGGUUAUUUUUUGUUUCGGUUUUGUUCGGUUCGGUUUCAUAAUGCGGUUUAUUCGGUUUUAAAAAUAAUUGAGCUCAUUCCAAAAUAAAUCCAACACAAGUGGAUUUUAUCUAGGAUUUAAAUAGCACAAUUUUAUACUAGUCUUUAAACUUUUAGUUUACUUAUGAACAAAAAAAUAAAACAAUAUAUCUUAAAACUUAUGAAAUUGCUGCAUUUUUCGGAAAUGGAUUGAACAAUCAUUGUUAACAUUUGUAUUCUAAAUUUCUACUCAUAUUAUAUCUAUCUUGCUGACAUGGAUACAGGGCCGUUCAAUGUAACAAAUGUCUUUGAGUUCCAUAAUGGACGGUGGUAUAUGGUUCAUCAUCACAGUUCUGUGAUGAAUGGGGAUGUAGAGCAACAAAUUAUGCAUGGAUAGUAAUAGUAAGAGAGAUGAUAUGUUAUUAUGUCUGAUACUGGUCUCAGAAAAGGAAAUUGCAAUGGGGCCAAAAAAGUGUGAAAAAUAGAUUAAGUGGAUUAAAGUAAAUACAAAAGAUCGAUGGAAAAGAUUACAUGUGAAUCAACGUCCAAUACAUCGGUGAGACUUGUGAAAAACCAAGGCUGUGCAGUUGCAGGAGUUACUAAUUCAAAAGUAUAGUCCAAUUUUGGCGUGCAUUUUAGUUCUCUAGCAGUGUGUGCAUUUUUCAAUAUUGUAAGAGACAAGUCCAUUCCGGCAAUGCAAUAUCCAAUCAACCUUCAAUGCAAUAUCCAAUCAACCUUACCUAUAGAUGAUCAUCAAUCAACAAUCGUAUAUAUAAGAGCUAGUGCAUAACAAUUUCUAUAACAAAAGAUAAAAUCAAAUCAAAUUCUUUUCAUAAGCUAUUACCAAGUUCAAGUGAUGAACACGCGUUAACACCUUAAGCUCGGCAAAAAAUUCUUUUGAUGCUUUCA